Molecule: non-coding RNA, 128 nt
Organism: Hordeum vulgare subsp. vulgare (domesticated barley)
Lineage: Eukaryota; Viridiplantae; Streptophyta; Magnoliopsida; Poales; Poaceae
Source: Rfam
GAUAUACUCCCUCCUUCUCAAAAUUCUUGUCUUAACUUUGUCUAGAAAUGAAUGUAUCUAAAUACUAAAACUUAAUUAGAUACAUUCAUAUCUUUAAGACAAGAAUUUUGGCAUGGAGGAAGUAUAAG